ACGGCUCAGUAACACGUGGAUAACCUGCCCUAAGGAAGGGGAUAACCUCGGGAAACUGAGGAUAAUACCCUAUAGGUUACAGACGCUGGAAUGCCCUGUAACCGAAAGUUCCGGCGCCUUAGGAUGGAUCUGCGGCCGAUUAGGUUGUUGUUGGGGUAACGGCCCAACAAGCCGAUAAUCGGUACGGGUUGUGGGAGCAAGAGCCCGGAGUUGGAUUCUGAGACAUGAAUCCAGGCCCUACGGGGCGCAGCAGGCGCGAAAACUUUACAAUGCGGGAAACCGUGAUAAGGGAACCCCGAGUGCCUGUAUAUGCAGGCUGUCCAGGUGUCUAAAAAACACCUGAAGAAAGGGCCGGCCAAGACCGGUGCCAGCCGCCGCGGUAAUACCGGCGGCUCGAGUGGUGGCCACUUUUAUUGGGCUUAAAGCGUUCGUAGCUGGGUUGUUAAGUCUCUUGGGAAAUCUGACGGCUCAACCGUCAGGCGUCCAAGGGAUACUGGCAAUCUUGGAACCGGGAGAGGUGAGGGGUACUUCGGGGGUAGGAGUGAAAUCCUGUAAUCCUCGAGGGACCACCUGUGGCGAAGGCGCCUCACCAGAACGGCUUCGACAGUGAGGGACGAAAGCUGGGGGAGCAAACCGGAUUAGAUACCCGGGUAGUCCCAGCCGUAAACGAUGCGCGUUAGGUGUAUCGGUGACCACGAGUCACCGAGGUGCCGAAGGGAAACCGUGAAACGUGCCGCCUGGGAAGUACGGUCGCAAGGCUGAAACUUAAAGGAAUUGGCGGGGGAGCAC
Molecule: ribosomal RNA, 789 nt
Filed under: Methanoculleus sp. enrichment culture clone HA1_30
Lineage: Archaea; Methanobacteriati; Methanobacteriota; Methanomicrobia; Methanomicrobiales; Methanomicrobiaceae
Description: bacterial SSU rRNA
Rfam family: Archaeal small subunit ribosomal RNA
Source: RNAcentral